AAGGAGUCUAACAUAUCUGCGAGUAUUUGGGUGUCAAACCCGAGUGCGCAAUGAAAGUGAACGUAGGAGCCACGCGCAUGCUGCAGCUUCGACCGAUCUGGAUCUUUAGUGAUGGAUUUGAUUAAGAGCAUAUGUGUUGGGACCCGAAAGAUGGUGAACUAUGCCUGAAAAGGGUGAAGCCAGAGGAAACUCUGAUGGAGGCUCGUAGCGAUACUGACGUGCAAAUCGAUCGUCAAAUUUGGGUAUAGGGGCGAAAGACUAAUCGAGCCAUCUAGUAGCUGGUUCCUGC
This 289-nucleotide unclassified non-coding RNA is filed under the name uncultured fungus. Its description in RNAcentral is "partial contains 5.8S rRNA, ITS2 and 28S rRNA". It matches the Rfam family "Eukaryotic large subunit ribosomal RNA", at positions 668 to 961 of the family's 3401-position model. Lineage: Eukaryota; Fungi. The record is from RNAcentral.